Molecule: long non-coding RNA, 333 nt
Organism: Haliaeetus leucocephalus (bald eagle)
Lineage: Eukaryota; Metazoa; Chordata; Aves; Accipitriformes; Accipitridae
Exons: 3
Source: RefSeq, a predicted model, not a curated record
AGCUUGGUAACUUCUGCGUGUGGUCACCUCAGCCAGAACUGUUGAAGAGUUUUCUCCUGGCAGGAAUGAUGACGUGCAUGUGCUGUUAUCCACUUGCACGAUGUAUUACGCCUGACCGUUCCAUUUCCCCUGCUAUUGAGUGGUAGAUGGUGGAUUAGUACUUUGAGCCUACGAGAGAGGCUGCAUGGGAACAUAAUGGGAUCUCGCAUCAUUUUUAAUGGGUGGGAUGGCUGGCUGACCACUGAGCGGGAUGGGUCAGGAAUUAUCUAGCGUCCCCGUGAGAAAGAAGGAAACCACAGGUGAUGCUUGGCCACGGUGGCUGGUGCCGGCAGC